CUAAGUGGAAGUGGGCGGGGGGCAACCCCCGCUUAAGAUAUAGUCGGGCCCUCUGGGAGACCAGAGGAACCCCCGCGUUGCCGCCGCAACGCGGGGCACCAAACCGUUCCGUAGGUGAACCUGCGGAAGGAUCAUU
RNAcentral lists this ribosomal RNA (136 nucleotides) under Venturia inaequalis. RNAcentral describes it as "partial 18S ribosomal RNA". Lineage: Eukaryota; Fungi; Ascomycota; Dothideomycetes; Venturiales; Venturiaceae. RNAcentral also lists the same sequence under 1 other name. The record is from RNAcentral.